AGAGGAUUGAAGGGAUUAAAU
RNAcentral lists this microRNA (21 nucleotides) under Zea mays. RNAcentral describes it as "microRNA miR-3134a". Lineage: Eukaryota; Viridiplantae; Streptophyta; Magnoliopsida; Poales; Poaceae. The record is from RNAcentral.